Molecule: long non-coding RNA, 2539 nt
Organism: Cygnus olor (mute swan)
Lineage: Eukaryota; Metazoa; Chordata; Aves; Anseriformes; Anatidae
Exons: 3
Source: RefSeq, a predicted model, not a curated record
GAGAUGGAAAACAAAGACAUCAGACAUUAAACUUACAUACCCUGGAGGACAAAAUACAGCAUUCAUCACAGAACACCUUAUUCCCCAUCUCAUGCCUGCUCAUCCCAUAGAGCAAGCUGGUGCUUUUGCAUCCUAUUGUCCAGCACGGCACAGGGCAGGAACUGCUUGCUCACAGCAACUAAAACAUCCACCGCCUCUAAAUCACCACUUAUGGAGACACCUGAAAAAAACAGCUUCAAUUACCAAAACCCACGGGCCAUGGAACAGAAUGCAGUUCUACUUAAUUUCACAAUGUCAUGAAAAUGGAAAUAAACAACCCCCCUAUCUGCUUGAAUAGAUUAGAUGUUGGGACAUUUACUUCAAUUUCUAGGCUCCAUUUAUCCAUUUUGAGAUACCGUAUUAUGCAGCCUCCAGAAGAAUCAGUAAAAUUAAAGUGUUUUUAUAUGGCUUAGACACCAUUUAAAUUUUUCACAGUUUUACUUAAAUUCUGUAAUCUAGAAAUCAAUUUAAGUAAUUAUUCAUUUGCUCCUAACGGCUACAUUCCAGAAUGUGGGCUUGCCUUUUAAAGGCUUUAUACAUGCCGCAUCUCUCCAUUCUUUUCUAGGUGCUCUUUUGAGCUACAGUUUACAGGUCGAUGAUUUUAUUCAUCCUCUGACAGGCUUCAUCUCUUGGCAAUGUUUUAAGAGUACCUUCCAUACUCUGAGUAUAUUGUAUUUUGCUAGGCUGCUGUAAAGCUGCAAGUCUCUUCAGAAUGUGGUGUUAAGUUUGUAAGUUAGGUUGAUACCCAUGAAAACAAAAGAUUUUCAAGUAGAGAGGACAGAAGGGAAUAAAGCAAAUUCUCUUCCCCUUCUGCCCACAGCAAUUCUGGUACUACAGCCCUCACUGCUCAAACUGCCACCCACAUGCUUCUUUAGAAUCCAGACAGCAUAAGCUAAAAAGGAAAACCCAAACAAUCAAGUAAAAAACUUUCACUGGGAAUAUGUGAGGAGUGGUUGAAGGAACUGGUUUUAUUCAAGCUGAUAAGGGAACACUAAAGGCAAUAUAAGAGCGGUGUAUAUUAAUUUUGUAGUUACAUGGAUAGUGGAUCCAAGCACUUUCAUAAUGUCAGAUAAUCUAACAAGACAAAACCUGGAAAUUGUAGUUUGGAAAAUCCUGGUUGGGAAAUAGGAAGAAAAUUUUCAUCAGGAUCCUUUCCCAGAGAGAUGGUAAAAUCUCCAGCAUUAGAUAUUUUUAAGACUUGGCCAGACAAAGUCAUGGUUUUAUCUAUCUGUUGUUGCUACUAGUCCUGUCUGGAGAAGGAGAUGGGAUUUGAUGACCUCCUGAUGUCUUUUUCAGCCAAUCUUUUUCUGUUUGUUUUACACAAAACGUCAAGUAGGAGUAAGUAUAGGGUAAGACCAUUUCAAAGGGUAUCUUACACAUUUAAUAUAACCUGGGAUGUGAGAGACAAAGGGCAGCAUCUUCAGCAAAAGCUGUGCAAAGGCUCAUGAGAGUUGAGCACAACCAUCCUCAGGUGCAGAAUUGAUCAAGCAUUUCCAGAUUCAUGAACUCUCUGAAAAGUGUCUGGCUGGGGUGUGGCAAGAGACUGAAAAUCUCAUACCCUCUCUUGAACGCCAUUGAAAAUCUACUCAACAAAAUAAUGUUGCCUACUUCCUAAUGUCAAAACUCAUCAUCAGCAAUAUUAAAAAAGUAGCAUGACUGAUCCAGGUUCUGGGAUCUCACCUAACAGAUCAAUCUCAGUCACUCUGGUGGUUUGUGCUUAGUCACCAAAAGAGAUUCCUAAGAUCCUGGCCACUUACAAUUUAGAAAAUCCUGUCUGGGAUUACAAGAGGAAGUCACUGCUUUUAAAAAGGCCUGAAGCAACUGAGAAAUCUCUAUUGAAGACAUACUCUUUUCCAUGAGAACUGGCCUAUCACAAGGAAAUUAAUUUGUUACCAGGAUUAGAAUAUAAUGCAGCAUCAAAAGGAGAGCCAGACAGAGUCCAUAUUUUUUUUCCCAUUUGCUGUAGAAAAGGCAAAACAUGAUUCCUAGUGGCACUUAAAGGGAAAGGGUAAGUUAUGGUGACUGCAAAAGGCUUGUGGUACUCUGAAAGACAGCUGCUCACUCUCUAAAGAAAAAAAGAUUUUUCUUCUUAAAAGUGACUGCUAGCAAUGGAAAUGGAUUUCUAUAUUGCCACACACUUUGAGAAACUUAUUUGCUAUAUGCUAGUCACAAGGCUUGAUUCUACCUUAUCCCAGAGGGGUAAAAUCCAGCUAAACACAGGGUGGAACCUACAUAGCCUUUCUGAGGAACAUUAUGCAUUAGCAGUGUUGUGAUGACUCUAUUCAUUUAGAUUUCUGUGAUAAAUCCUUCCUAUAAGAGAGCAUCAAUUUACAUAGUCUUGAACAGAAACAGAAAUUCAAAGACUAAGUAGUGCCACCUACCUUAGACAAAGAGGAAUAUUUAUGCACCAAUCUAACCAAGGUGUUCACUCAGCCAUUAAAGAGUUUCACUAGAACUCAUAAACCACAUUAAAACAAAAGACAAAACACCACCUGAUCAU